AGUGAACGCUGGCGGCGUGCUUAACACAUGCAAGUCGAACGAGAACGGGUUAUAGCUUGCUAUAAUUGUCAGCUAAGUGGCGCACGGGUGAGUAAUGUAUAGGUAAUAUGCCUCUUACUAAGGGAUAACAAAUGGAAACGUUUGCUAAUACCUUAUACUCCUUAUUAACAGAAGUUAAUAAGGGAAAGAUUUAUUGGUAAGAGAUUAGCCUGUAUUGUAUCAGUUAGUUGGUGGGGUAAUGGCUUACCAAGACUAUGACACAUAACUGGUUUGAGAGGAUGAUCAGUCACACUGGAACUGAGACACGGUCCAGACUCCUACGGGAGGCAGCAGUGGGGAAUAUUGCACAAUGGACGAAAGUCUGAUGCAGCAACGCCGCGUGGAGGAUGACACAUUUCGGUGCGUAAACUCCUUUUAUAUGAGAAGAUAAUGACGGUAUUGUAUGAAUAAGCACCGGCUAACUCCGUGCCAGCAGCCGCCGUAA
RNAcentral lists this ribosomal RNA (484 nucleotides) under uncultured bacterium. RNAcentral's name for it is "partial 16S ribosomal RNA". It matches the Rfam family "Bacterial small subunit ribosomal RNA", at positions 29 to 523 of the family's 1533-position model. The record is from RNAcentral.